GUGCCUUGGUGGUCCGAAGCCACAUUCUUGCCUGAGCCCAGUUCAGGCCACCAGGGCACCAGUUUGCAAAAGGUCCACCCCAUCUCUGAAGCAAGCCUCAAAUGGUUAUCUGUCAGUCACCACCAAGGCUUUUCAGCAGCCCGGCGCAUGUGCUCCGAGAGUCUGUCAGCGAGGCUGUCUGGCCAGACCCAGAACCAUGGAAAAUGGAACCUUUGUUGAUGCUGCUCUCGGAGAAGGAAGCCCAUUCAGUCUCCCUCCGCUGCCGCCUCUCCUCCUCACUUGGGACCGCCUCCUUCCUCUUCUGAGCCCUGAGUGACUGGCCACAGAUUUUGCACGAAGAAGCAGAAAUACAUUAUUCUUAUCAGG
Long non-coding RNA from Mastomys coucha (southern multimammate mouse), 366 nucleotides. RefSeq lists it as uncharacterized. The record is from RefSeq and is a predicted model, not a curated record. The transcript has 2 exons. NCBI's taxonomy places the organism in Eukaryota, Metazoa, Chordata, Mammalia, Rodentia, Muridae.